This 55-nucleotide non-coding RNA is filed under the name unclassified sequences. The record is from Rfam.
GUCCGUUCAUCCCAAGUGGGACGCAUGACGCUCUACCAUGGAACGGGGGUAGAGU